AGGUCACAAAGAGUCAGACACGACUUAGUGACUAAACAACAACACUUCAUCAGAAAUACAGUCCAUGAAUUAAAAAGAAGAUGCCACAGUUCUGACCAUGCAGAGAUGUGCCAAGGGGACCUGAAGGCAGUGCACCUGUGUGACUGUCUCCAGUGUGAUCGUUUCAGCCACCAGAGCUGAUCCCAGUGUCCACCUAAGGAUGGUUCUUCCAGCUUUCUAAUACCCUGCAGUGAAGCUCAAGAUGAUUCUCAGCUGUCUUCUGGGUUAUGGCUGCCAAGAUGCCUGAAGUGAUGAUCGCUGUGAUCAGCAGGAACAGCCAGAUGUAAUAUCUAAUUGGGAAAAGAGAUUCAAACUUCACAAAUAUAUGAGUAUUCAAAAUA
This is a long non-coding RNA of Odocoileus virginianus texanus, 380 nucleotides long. RefSeq lists it as uncharacterized. The record is from RefSeq and is a predicted model, not a curated record. Lineage: Eukaryota; Metazoa; Chordata; Mammalia; Artiodactyla; Cervidae.